AUGUUCCUGCUGGAGAAAAGGCCUUCCCUGAAUGACCGUCUCUGCCUUCUUCUCACCUUCUGCUCUGUUUGUGGCACCUACCCCAUCUGGGAUCUGCUGUGCAUGUCUAGGCUUCAGAUAAUCUGCCUGUGCUGGACAGUGGGAGGUUCGGAGUUGAAGGUCUGGAAUGACGAACCUCACAAGAAUGGGACGUGCACGCACCUAUGCAAAGGCUCUGACUUUUUCCCAGGUGUCUCUGACGCAAGUCCAUUGUGCUCCAGCCCAACUAAUGGAGGGAUUUAUUUCUCACACUUAGGGGAACUCCUUGGACCUCCUGCUCCCAGCACCCACACACCCAUCCUCUCCUUUAACUGUCCUAGCAGCUUUCCCACCAGGGAAUGGAGCAUCAUCGGGGCGGGCAGCUCAGGAUGGGGCGGCUUAGGGCGGAGGAAUAAAGAGCAGCAGGCCCAGGGACCUCUUCCUCCCACCCACCCCUUGAGGCAGCCGUGAUCUUCCCAUGCCCUUGGCAGGAGGGGCGAGAAAGUGCACAUCCAGCAAAUAUCCUCAGCUGAUGACCCAGGCUUGCCCAGUCUAUUUAAUGUUCCCAAGGAACGCGCUGCCAGGACAUGCUUCCCUUAUGGCAGCCAUGGAAGAGUGAAGAACAAUGGCCCUAUCUGUGGCUCCCACAUCACCUUUGCAAAGGAGAAGCUGGUGACAACUGAAUGCUGGGAGGCAAAAGUAACUCACAAAGUUGAGCUCAGAGCUAAUUUGCAGCAGAAGGUAAAGAUUAUGCAGCAUCUGACCCAAGAGAGAAUAGGCAAAGCUGGCUCUACCAGUCCCAAGAAAACUUCUCUGAUGUGCGGAGCUGCAGACUGACCUGCUUGCUGCAGUGUGUGUCCACCCCCAGACUACCCUGUUAUCAAACCAACGUUUCACAAUUCUCUAGGCUUUUUCCUCCUGUGGUUGUGACAAAGCGAACUCUGGCAUGCGUCAGCCAGGAAAAGCACCCACAAGCCACGCUGUCCUUACUAGGGGAACUUCUUGGGUCUCUCCAUUCACACCAGGACCAGGAAAAAAUGAGUCUGGUGCCUUCCCAAAGGCCUCGUCUACACUAGAAAAGGUUUGCCAGUAGAGCUAUCCAUACCAGUAAACCCUCGUAGUGUUAUGGAGCUAAUGCUGGUUGAAAAUAUUCCUAUGGAAUGUUUUUCCAUUAGAAAAUGCUGUUUCAUUUAUAUCGGGGUGGCCACAGAGCCCCCCCACACCACCCACCAUUCUCCAUCUAACAGACUGGGGGGAGGUUGGGGUUCCUGCCCUGCAGCAGUGGUGGGGCUAGGGGCUUCUGCCCCAUGGGGAGGGGAGACUGCAGUCGGGGCCUCAGCCCCACUGGGCACGCCUGCUGGGGCACGGGGCUUCAGCACGAGCAGGGCUGAAGCCCCUGCAGGCACACUCUGUCUCUCAAACUUCAGAAGAUUGUCGUAUGCGGCUCGGAGGGUCAGAAAGUUUGGCCACCCCUGAUUUAUAUGGAAACAUGCUCAUUUUGAUGAAAUGUUGUGGCAGGGGGGGAAUAAAGCAUUUCAAUAAGGUUGAAACA
Molecule: long non-coding RNA, 1570 nt
Organism: Chrysemys picta bellii (western painted turtle)
Lineage: Eukaryota; Metazoa; Chordata; Testudines; Emydidae
Source: Ensembl